CCUUUAAAGAAAGAAAAGGGGACAGGGUCUCUCAAUGAGCUGGAACUCCCUGAGGAGGCUAGGUUGCUGGCCAGCAAGCCCAAUCUGCCUCCUUCUCUAAAGAAGAACAUCAUGCAUUGUUUUUGUUUUGUUCUGACUUUGUCUUUAAUGUAAGUUUGAUGCCUAAACACAGGUACUCAAAGCUUGUGUAGCAAGUACUUCAACAACUGACCUCUUUCUCCAGCCCCCUUCUUAAAGUUAAAAAAAGAAGAAGAGAAAUUAUUAAGUAUCUUUUAUAAUGUAAAGAAAAAUUAAAGGUGGGAUGUGAAAGAAAAAAAUUAGGAGGGACAGAUUUCCUUCAGAAAGCUAAUCAUGAACAGAGAGAUAUGCUCCCUAAAAUCAGGGACCAAAAAACAUUAAAAGCAGAGGCAGGCGGACCUCCGAGUACAAGGCAGCCUACUCUACAAGGUGAGUUCCAGGUCAGCCAGGGCUACACAGAGAAACCCUGUCUUGAAAAAAAACAAAAAGAAAGAGAAAAAAUGAGAACAAAAACAUGUAAAACAAUAAUAAACUGCCUGCAAUAACUAAAAUUCACUUAUAUAAAACAGAGACAGAGGCAGGGGUGGAGGGGAAGAUCACUGAACUGCUCACCUUUCAGAACAGGAAACAAAGACAUACUAAUAACCAUAGAGCUUUAAAAUUAAAACUAUCUUUGGAGAUCUCUAAAGAAGAUCGAAAUAUUCCCACAUUCCAAACUCCUUAAAUGGUCAGAAAGAGUUAGUAUCUUGUAUUACUUUUGUGAUUUAAAAUUCUAAAGUUAAAAAUCUGAAUGGUAGCAUUAGAGAUGGCUCCACAGUUGAGAGCUGACUGUUUCUGCGGAGGAUCUGAAUUUGGUUCCCACAGAGCAGUUUCCAAGUUCCAGGGGCUCCUGUGCACAAAUGAUCCGCAUCCAGACUCCAAGGUACACACAUACAUAAAACUAACUCUUCUAAAGACGGGAAUAUGGAGGAGCUGGAAAAUGGUUUAAAACACUUGAUCUUCUUGCCAAGGAUCUUGCAUCGGUUCCGAGCUCCCUCGGGGCAGCUUACAACCAUUAACUAGCUUCUAGGGGAUCUGGGAGAUCUAGUGUCCCACAGCAGCACAUACACACAUGCAGGCAAAAUAUUCAUAUACAUAAAAUAAAAAUAAGGUAUUCUAAUUAAAUAAGGAGAUUAUCUAAAAGAACCUUCUGAAAUACUAUUAAUGGCUUCAAAAGACAAUUUAUCUUCCAGGGUGUAAUUACACACUCUGAUGUUAUAAAUUUAAAAGUUAAAUUUCCAUGAGUAGACACAAGUAUAAAAGCACAGAGAAACUUAGAAUGGACCUUGUCUUAGUGAAGCCAUGCAUGGUAGAGCAUACGUGUAAUGUAAGAGACUUGCACUCCAGGUCAUCCUGGUGUGUGUCCCACACCAGUCACUUUACCAAGUGAACUCUUGCCAUCUUCCAAUCUCGUGCUGCUCCCCCAUAAAAACAAAACAAAAACCCUGUGUCCUAGCAAAAUACAAGGAUUUUGCUUUAACUCCAGAACAUGUAACUGAGGCAGGAGAUUCAUGAGUUCAAGGAACGUGGGAAUGGGAGAUGGGGAGUGUGGGGGAGUGUGUAUCUGAGUGUAUGGUAGCCACAUGCUACAAAAUGUUAAACAGCAGUCAGACAGAGACCGAGAAGGAAGGAUAGAGAAAGAUGAGCAUGAGAUAUUUUACUGUUACAUUUCCAGUUUAAAUUUUCAACAAAUCCUUACUACUUUUUAAAAAGUAGAAAUUUUUAGGAAAAACUACUUCUACAUUAAUCCACCCAGUUCUUUCCCAGUGCCCCACCCUGUAUUUCUCAAACACCAGUGGUGUUUGAAUGAACCUUACAUCUGUCCAAUUCUAACUUCCAUUGGAUGCACAAAACAGUCUAUUUGUUACUGUGCGUGACUGAAGGGGAAAUGAACCUUACACUGUACUUGGUCUUCUGCUGGGCUGUUUAGGAAACAGAGCUACUCAUUAAAACCAAAUUACAAGUGAGAUUCCACACAGGUCAGUAAUGUCUGUCCUUAUUGUCAUCCACUGUGAAUUUCCCAACCUUCCAGGAAGACUUGCCAACACCACAGAAGAUCCAUUUCACCGGGGAGAAUGAAAACUUUGUACAGCAUACACCAAGCAGGGUCCAUCAGUUUGACUGUUUCCUCACGUAGGAAAUUCUAUAACCAGAUUAUGCAUCUUUUAUGAGGUAAGCACGCAGACAUCACAUGAUCAAGGUGCCCCAGUG
This 2268-nucleotide long non-coding RNA is filed under the name Mus pahari (shrew mouse). RNAcentral describes it as "lncRNA (MGP_PahariEiJ_G0004706.1)". The record is from RNAcentral. Lineage: Eukaryota; Metazoa; Chordata; Mammalia; Rodentia; Muridae.